This 491-nucleotide ribosomal RNA is filed under the name uncultured bacterium. RNAcentral describes it as "partial 16S ribosomal RNA". It matches the Rfam family "Bacterial small subunit ribosomal RNA", at positions 29 to 506 of the family's 1533-position model. The record is from RNAcentral.
AGUGAACGCUGGCGGUAGGCUUAACACAUGCAAGUCGAACGGCAGCACAGUAAGAGCUUGCUCUUACGGGUGGCGAGUGGCGGACGGGUGAGGAAUACAUCGGAAUCUACUUUUUCGUGGGGGUUAACGUAGGGAAACUUACGCUAAUACCGCAUACGACCUACGGGUGAAAGCAGGGGAUCUUCUGACCUUGCGCGAAUGAAUGCGCCGAUGUCGGAUUAGCUAGUUGGCGGGGUAAAGGCCAACCAAGGCGACGAUCCGUAGCUGGUCAGAGAGGAUGGUGCGCCACACUGGAAGUGAGACACGGUCCAGACACCUACGGGAGGCAGCAGUGGGUAAUAGAGGACAGAGGGCGCAAGCCUGAACCAGCCAUACCGCGUUGGUGAAGAAGGCCUGCGUGUUGUAAAGCCCUUUUGUUGGUAUAGAAAAGCAGCAGGUUAAUACCCCGCUGUUCUGACGGUACCGAAAGAAUAAGCACCGGCUAACUGCGU